RNAcentral lists this ribosomal RNA (253 nucleotides) under uncultured prokaryote. RNAcentral's name for it is "partial 16S ribosomal RNA". It matches the Rfam family "Bacterial small subunit ribosomal RNA", at positions 523 to 775 of the family's 1533-position model. The record is from RNAcentral.
AUACAGAGGGGGCAAGCGUUAUUCGGAAUUAUUGGGCGUAAAGGGCGCGUAGGCGGCUUUGCAAGUGGCGGGUGAAAUCCCUCGGCUUAACCGAGGAACUGCCUGCCAGACUGUGAGGCUUGAGACCGGGAGAGGUGAGUGGAAUUCCCAGUGUAGCGGUGAAAUGCGUAGAUAUUGGGAGGAACACCAGUGGCGAAGGCGGCUCACUGGACCGGAACUGACGCUGAGGCGCGAAAGCGUGGGGAGCAAACAG